This 320-nucleotide ribosomal RNA is filed under the name uncultured Prevotella sp. RNAcentral's name for it is "partial 16S ribosomal RNA". The record is from RNAcentral. Lineage: Bacteria; Pseudomonadati; Bacteroidota; Bacteroidia; Bacteroidales; Prevotellaceae.
GGAGUUUGGGCCGUGUCUCAGUCCCAAUGUGGCCGUCCGCCCUCUCAGGCCGGCUACAGAUCGUCGCUUUGGUGGGCCGUUACCCCGCCGGCAAGCUAAUCAGACGCAUCCCCAUCCCUUACCGAUGAAUCCUUGCUCCUCAUUAGAUGCCUGCAAAGGAGAACAUAGAGUAUUAAUCCGACUUUCGCCGGGCUAUCCUCUAGUAAGGGGAAGGUUGGAUACGCGUUACUCACCCGUGCGCCGGUCGCCAUCAAAGGAAGCAAGCUUCCUUCAUGCUGCCCCACGACUUGCAUGUGUUAAGCCUGUAGCUAGCGUUCAUC